This 774-nucleotide long non-coding RNA is filed under the name Sus scrofa (pig). RNAcentral describes it as "lncRNA (ENSSSCG00015074147.1)". Lineage: Eukaryota; Metazoa; Chordata; Mammalia; Artiodactyla; Suidae. The record is from RNAcentral.
GAGCGCGGGCCUGGUGCUUCGGCGGCCCCGGGCUUGCGGCGGGGUCGCCGGGGGGACGCCCCUCAGGCCUGCUCUUAGGAGCCGAAGUCCGGCCGGGGCGCCGUACGCGGGCAGGGCCCGGAGCUGGGCCUUCGGCUUCGUGAAAGCUCUGCUCAACAUAGGAAGAGAAAACUGACAUGGAUUUGUUAAUCACCCAGCUGAACGUGGAAGGCAUGCCCAAACACAUGCAGAGAACCCACUGAAAAGGAAUGUCUCCUGGAAAUGACUUUUUGAGAUGAAAUUGUUUGACCACCUCUGGAAGCAGUAUCAGGAGCAACAGAAAUCCACAUUUGUUCAGUGGGUUAGAGGACAUGGAGUGGAAGACUUUGAGGAGGAGAUUCUGUGCUAGACUGGUCUUGCUUAGAAGACAUUUCCAGAUUAGAUCCAUUGUUUUGUAUGUGCAUUUUAUUUCUCACUGCUGUAUAUAUAGUUGACAAUAAGUACUUUUUAGAAAUAUCUAGGCUUUGUACAGAGUUCGCGUCGUGGCUCAGUGGUUAACGAAUAUGAUUAGAAACCCUGAGUUUGCGGGUUCGAUCCCUGGCCUUGCUCAGUGGGUUACAGAUCCAGCGUUGCCGUGAGCUGUGGUGUAGAUUGAAGACGCGGCUCGGAUCCCACGUUGCUGUGACUCUAGUGUGGGUUGGCGGCUAUAGCUCCGAUUCGACCCCUAGCCUGGGAACCUCCAUAUGCUUCCGGGGGAUCAGCCCUAGAAAAGGCAAAAAGACCAAAAAAAAAAAA